AGAUUGAACGCUGGCGGCAGGCCUAACACAUGCAAGUCGAGCGGCAGCACGGGUACUUGUACCUGGUGGCGAGCGGCGGACGGGUGAGUAAUGCCUAGGAAUCUGCCUGGUAGUGGGGGAUAACGCUCGGAAACGGACGCUAAUACCGCAUACGUCCUACGGGAGAAAGCAGGGGACCUUCGGGCCUUGCGCUAUCAGAUGAGCCUAGGUCGGAUUAGCUAGUUGGUGGGGUAAUGGCUCACCAAGGCGACGAUCCGUAACUGGUCUGAGAGGAUGAUCAGUCACACUGGAACUGAGACACGUCCAGACUCCUACGGGAGCAGCAGUGGGGAAUAGUU
This 338-nucleotide ribosomal RNA is filed under the name uncultured soil bacterium. RNAcentral describes it as "bacterial SSU rRNA". It matches the Rfam family "Bacterial small subunit ribosomal RNA", at positions 26 to 366 of the family's 1533-position model. The record is from RNAcentral.